RNAcentral lists this transfer RNA (73 nucleotides) under Falsihalocynthiibacter arcticus. Its description in RNAcentral is "Halocynthiibacter arcticus tRNA". It matches the Rfam family "tRNA". From Rfam's summary of the family: Transfer RNA (tRNA) molecules are approximately 80 nucleotides in length. Their secondary structure includes four short double-helical elements and three loops (D, anti-codon, and T loops). The record is from Rfam by way of RNAcentral. Lineage: Bacteria; Pseudomonadati; Pseudomonadota; Alphaproteobacteria; Rhodobacterales; Roseobacteraceae.
GGGGCCUUAGCUCAGUUGGUAGAGCGCUUGCAUGGCAUGCAAGAGGUCAGCGGUUCGAUUCCGCUAGGCUCCA